Molecule: ribosomal RNA, 386 nt
Filed under: Staphylococcus xylosus
Lineage: Bacteria; Bacillati; Bacillota; Bacilli; Caryophanales; Staphylococcaceae
Description: bacterial SSU rRNA
Rfam family: Bacterial small subunit ribosomal RNA
Source: RNAcentral
CGGCGGACGGGUGAGUAACACGUGGGUAACCUACCUAUAAGACUGGGAUAACUUCGGGAAACCGGAGCUAAUACCGGAUAACAUUUAGAACCGCAUGGUUCUAAAGUGAAAGAUGGUUUUGCUAUCACUUAUAGAUGGACCCGCGCCGUAUUAGCUAGUUGGUAAGGUAACGGCUUACCAAGGCGACGAUACGUAGCCGACCUGAGAGGGUGAUCGGCCACACUGGAACUGAGACACGGUCCAGACUCCUACGGGAGGCAGCAGUAGGAGAAUCUUCCGCAAUGGGCGAAAGCCUGACGGAGCAACGCCGCGUGAGUGAUGAAGGGUUUCGGCUCGUAAAUACUUCUGUUAUUAGGGAAGAACAAAUGUGUAAGUAUACUGUGCAC